This 467-nucleotide ribosomal RNA is filed under the name uncultured bacterium. Its description in RNAcentral is "partial 16S ribosomal RNA". It matches the Rfam family "Bacterial small subunit ribosomal RNA", at positions 29 to 507 of the family's 1533-position model. The record is from RNAcentral.
ACGCACGCUGGCGGCGUGCUUAACACAUGCAAGUCGAACGGAAAGGCCCUGCUUUUGUGGGGUGCUCGAGUGGCGAACGGGUGAGUAACACGUGAGUAACCUGCCCUUGACUUUGGGAUAACUUCAGGAAACUGGGGCUAAUACCGGAUAGGAGCUCCUGCUGCAUGGUGGGGGUUGGAAAGUUUCGGCGGUUGGGGAUGGACUCGCGGCUUAUCAGCUUGUUGGUGGGGUAGUGGCUUACCAAGACUUUGACGGGUAGCCGGCCUGAGAGGGUGACCGGCCACAUUGGGACUGAGAUACGGCCCAGACUCCUACGGGAGGCAGCAGUGGGGAAUAUUGCACAAUGGGCGGAAGCCUGAUGCAGCAACGCCGCGUGCGGGAUGACGGCCUUCGGGUUGUAAACCGCUUUCGCCUGUGACGAAGCGUGAGUGACGGUAAUGGGUAAAGAAGCACCGGCUAACUACGUG